GCAGGGUAUUGCCCUAGUAACGGCGAGUGAAGCGGCAACAGCUCAAAUUUGAAAUCUGGCUCUUUUAGAGUCCGAGUUGUAAUUUGCAGAGGGCGCUUUGGCUUUGGCAGCGGUCCAAGUUCCUUGGAACAGGACGUCACAGAGGGUGAGAAUCCCGUACGUGGUCGCUGGCUAUUGCCGUGUAAAGCCCCUUCGACGAGUCGAGUUGUUUGGGAAUGCAGCUCUAAAUGGGAGGUACAUUUCUUCUAAAGCUAAAUAUUGGCCAGAGACCGAUAGCGCACAAGUAGAGUGAUCGAAAGAUGAAAAGCACUUUGGAAAGAGAGUCAAACAGCACGUGAAAUUGUUGAAAGGGAAGCGCUUGCAGCCAGACUUGCUUACAGUUGCUCAUCCGGGUUUCUACCCGGUGCACUCUUCUGUAGGCAGGCCAGCAUCAGUUUGGGCGGUAGGAUAAAGGUCUCUGUCACGUACCUCCUUUCGGGGAGGCCUUAUAGGGGAGACGACAUACUACCAGCCUGGACUGAGGUCCGCGCAUCUGCUAGGAUGCUGGCGUAAUGGCUGUAAGCGGCCCGUCUUGAAACACGGACCAAGGAGUCUAACAUCUAUGCGAGUGUUUGGGUGUCAAGCCCGAGCGCGUAAUGAAAGUGAACGGAGGUGGGAACCCGCAAGGGUGCACCAUCGACCGAUCCUGAUGUCUUCGGAAGGAUUUGAGUAAGAGCAUGGCUGUUGGGACCCGAAAGAUGGUGAACUAUGCUUGAAUAGGGUGAAGCCAGAGGAAACUCUGGUGGAGGCUCGCAGCGGUUCUGACGUGCAAAUCGAUCGUCAAAUUUGGGCAUAGGGGCGAAAGACUAAU
Molecule: ribosomal RNA, 850 nt
Filed under: Alternaria alternata
Lineage: Eukaryota; Fungi; Ascomycota; Dothideomycetes; Pleosporales; Pleosporaceae
Description: eukaryotic LSU rRNA
Rfam family: Eukaryotic large subunit ribosomal RNA
Source: RNAcentral